This 69-nucleotide transfer RNA is filed under the name Paraphlugiolopsis jiangi. RNAcentral's name for it is "tRNA-Gln". Lineage: Eukaryota; Metazoa; Arthropoda; Insecta; Orthoptera; Tettigoniidae. The record is from RNAcentral.
UAUAUUUAGGUGUAUGAAGCACGGAAGUUUUUGAUACUUUAGGGAGUAGUUUAAGUCUACUGAAUGUAA